RNAcentral lists this long non-coding RNA (391 nucleotides) under Fukomys damarensis (Damara mole-rat). Its description in RNAcentral is "lncRNA (ENSFDAG00000032643.1)". The record is from RNAcentral. Lineage: Eukaryota; Metazoa; Chordata; Mammalia; Rodentia; Bathyergidae.
CCUGGAAUCAGCUGCCUGUAAACUGGAAAUGAGGGUGAUCAGGGAGGGAGGCACUGCUUCUGCGAUCACUCAAGUGACCGGGAAGCCAGGGGUGCCGCAGGCAAUCAGGAUGACUCCCGGAAGAGACACCCCGAGCCCAGCCCAAUCAUCAUCCGGGCCAGGGCCAGCAGGGAGACGGCAUCUGAGAAGGCAUCGGGCACAACCAGGGGCAAGCAGGUGUGAGCACAAGAAGGUUGGGGUGGGGGCGGGGGCUGACUGUUGGCCCUGCCCUGGCAUCUGCCUGUGCUGGGUGCCACGGUCCCGCUGUGUGGUCCCCUUCUUUCCUUAGCCACCCCUUUGUCCAGGUGGCUGAGACUUUCCCCCAGUGGGGACAGAUGGACCGGGAGAGGCC